CCUACGGGAGGCAGCAGUGGGGGAUAUUGGACAAUGGGGGAAACCCUGAAGCAGCGACGCCGCGUGGGCGAAGAAGUAUUUCGGUAUGUAAAGCUCUAUCAGCAGGGAAGAAGAAAUGACGGUACCUGAGUAAGAAGCACCGGCUAAAUACGUGCCAGCAGCCGGGGUAAUACGUAUGGUGCAAGCGUUAUCCGGAUUUACUGGGUGAAAAGGGAGCGCAGGCGGCACGGCAAGCCUGAUGUGAAAGCCCGGGGCUCAACCCCGGGACUGCAUUGGGAACUGCCGUGCUUGAGUGCGGGAGAGGCAGGCGGAAUUCCUAGUGUAGCGGUGAAAUGCGUAGAUAUGAGGAGGAACACCAGUGGCGAAGGCGGCCUACUGGACGGUAACUGACGCUGAGGCUCGAAAGCGUGGGGAGCAAACAGGAUUAGAUACCCCGGUAGUC
RNAcentral lists this ribosomal RNA (442 nucleotides) under uncultured bacterium. Its description in RNAcentral is "partial 16S ribosomal RNA". It matches the Rfam family "Bacterial small subunit ribosomal RNA", at positions 338 to 795 of the family's 1533-position model. The record is from RNAcentral.